This 287-nucleotide signal recognition particle RNA is filed under the name Aotus nancymaae (Ma's night monkey). Its description in RNAcentral is "Metazoan signal recognition particle RNA (ENSANAG00000001056.1)". It matches the Rfam family "Metazoan signal recognition particle RNA". From Rfam's summary of the family: The signal recognition particle (SRP) is a universally conserved ribonucleoprotein. It is involved in the co-translational targeting of proteins to membranes. The record is from RNAcentral. Lineage: Eukaryota; Metazoa; Chordata; Mammalia; Primates; Aotidae.
GCCAGGCGGCAGUGGUGCACCUAUAGUCCCAGCUACUUGGGAGGCUGGCGCCGGAGGGUCGUGGGAGCCAGGGAGUUCGGGGCUGUGCUGGUUGGAUUUCUGCGCUCAGUUUGGCAUCAAUGUGGCAACCUUCCAGGAGCAGAGAGCCACCAGGUUGCGUAAGGAGUGGGGGGCCGGCCCAGGUCGGAAGUGGGGAAGGUCAGAACUCCCGUACCCGUCGGUAGAGAGAUCGCGCCUGUGAUUAGCACCACACCCCAGCCUAGGCAACACAGCAAGACCCAGUCUCU